CAGGUAUUUUCUUAUUUUCAUUAUUCCCUUCUCAUUGAUACUUAGAUUAUUUGGAUUGGACCAUAUCUUUGCAAUGCUUUGGUGGCCUUGUUAGCUUCAUGCUUCCAUGUGUUCCUUACUUUGGCUAUUAAAAAAAGAAGAUGAUGUAUUAUGUAUAUAACUCAUCAUUAAUUAUCAGUGCGACAUAUAUGUUAGGUUCGGUGGAUAAUUGUUUGUGGCGGAAUACAAGAGGUAAUGUAGGAUGUGUACAGUUUCUAGAUAGCGAAUGUGUGGACUUUUUUUUUGUUUUCAGAUCUCUUUGCAAUAGAUUGAAUCUGCUCUUUCUUUUUCUUUCUUUUUUAACUUGUAGGAUUUACUAAUUUGUUCUUCUCUGCUUACCUUUAAUCUCCUUUCUCCAGGCACAUGUCCUCUCAAGGAUAUGUACCUUCCGAAGGAGUAUUAUACUGGGUGAGCAUGCUCAGUAGUUA
Molecule: long non-coding RNA, 467 nt
Filed under: Brassica rapa (field mustard)
Lineage: Eukaryota; Viridiplantae; Streptophyta; Magnoliopsida; Brassicales; Brassicaceae
Description: long non-coding RNA (BRAP_LNC003881)
Source: RNAcentral